AACUCCCAUGCCUACCUUCCUCGUACGGUGGAACGUGUAACUCUCAGAUGAGGCUUAACCAUCAGAGAUUCCGGGUGGAACGUUAGUUUUGUAAAGUACCUAGUGUGAGAUUUGAUUGGAAAUCUCACAUGGUACACGAACAAAGAUGCGGUUGGUGAGCAAAGCAAAGCAUAUCAACAUGGUUUUGAAUCGCAAGAUGACCUCUUUGAGCAGGCCAAUAUUCGCAACAGCUGGAAGCUAUGAUUGGGAGAAGUUGAAACCAGCAGUACUUUCGAAUCUCCAGAUUUUCUAAAGAGGAUCUGCUGAGAAACGGCAAACGAUUGAACGGACCAUGGCUUCAAAUACACGAUAUGAGGGUGUGGGAACAUUCGCUUGGUAUUAAAUUGUUCAAAAACGUGUGCUAUCUUGGCGAGAUUUGUUGACCAAUCGCUUCCAAUCUCGACGGGUUAGCAAACGCAUAAAUUGUAAUAUCCAAUAGCAUUUAUUCUUAGUUUAAAAAAAUAUAUAGUUCAAUUGAUAAUGGAUCCCGAACAUCAUUUUCUGAUGGAAAUGAAUGUCAAAAUACAUUAAAUGCUUACUGCUCGUAUAUGACAAACUUUCAAUUAUGAUGCAGCAAUUAUGGUGUUGGUAGCUUAUUCAACAUAUUUCCCGUAAGAACACGACCGGAGAAUAGCAUGACGAUAAUUAAAUAGAUUUAUUAUGCGCAUGACACGCGAUGAAACAACCCCCAUUAUCUACUGAUAAUCUUUUGGGUCACGUGUUUUCCAGCCCUAUAUAUUGAAAAGUUUACAUAAUGGAAACAUUCGAAUCGAAAUUCCGUAGAGUUAUGAAAUAACAAAAAUAGAUGGAAAUGGUUUUUCUUGUAGCAUGUAAGUGAUGAAAACAAUAACACUUGGUAUUAGUUUUAAGACGUUUCUGGUAAAAAUUGUAUUAUUAUUCGACAUAUUGUUUUGAGAUUAUGUUUUGCAACCCCCUCGAAGUAAAUACUCGUUACUGUUGGUAAA
This is a long non-coding RNA of Aedes aegypti (yellow fever mosquito), 1004 nucleotides long. RefSeq lists it as uncharacterized. NCBI's taxonomy places the organism in Eukaryota, Metazoa, Arthropoda, Insecta, Diptera, Culicidae. The record is from RefSeq and is a predicted model, not a curated record. The transcript is spliced from 3 exons.